This 98-nucleotide signal recognition particle RNA is filed under the name Alcaligenaceae bacterium. RNAcentral describes it as "signal recognition particle sRNA small type". It matches the Rfam family "Bacterial small signal recognition particle RNA". From Rfam's summary of the family: The signal recognition particle (SRP) is a universally conserved ribonucleoprotein involved in the co-translational targeting of proteins to membranes. Archaeal SRP consists of a 7S RNA and homologues of the eukaryotic SRP19 and SRP54 proteins. Lineage: Bacteria; Pseudomonadati; Pseudomonadota; Betaproteobacteria; Burkholderiales; Alcaligenaceae. The record is from RNAcentral.
GGUGGGUCCCUCCGCAUGGGUCCAUGGUCAACCUGGUCAGGUCCGGAAGGAAGCAGCCACAGCCAUUUCGACUCAGUGCCGGAGUAAGGCUCACCGCC